GAGCUGUGAAAACCUCCCUUCAGAGAUGGAACGAUACAGAGAAAAUUAGCAUGGCUCUUGCGCAAAACUGACACGCAAAUUCGUGAAGCAUUCCAUAUUUUU
This is a small nuclear RNA of Suncus etruscus (white-toothed pygmy shrew), 102 nucleotides long. Lineage: Eukaryota; Metazoa; Chordata; Mammalia; Eulipotyphla; Soricidae. The record is from RefSeq and is a predicted model, not a curated record.